CCUACGGGAGGCAGCAGUGGGGAAUAUUGCACAAUGGGGGAAACCCUGAUGCAGCGACGCCGCGUGAGCGAUGAAGUAUUUCGGUAUGUAAAGCUCUAUCAGCAGGGAAGAAAAUGACGGUACCUGACUAAGAAGCCCCGGCUAACUACGUGCCAGCAGCCGCGGUAAUACGGAGGGUGCGAGCGUUAAUCGGAAUUACUGGGCGUAAGGCGCUCGUAGGCGGUAUGUCAAGUCAAGGGUGAAAUCCCCGCGCUCAACGUGGGAACUGCCUUUGAAACUGGCAGACUUGAGUGUGUGAGAGGAUAGUGGAAUUCCAUGUGUAGCGGUGAAAUGCGUAGAUAUAUGGAGGAACACCAGUGGCGAAGGCGACGAGCUGGCCUGCAACUGACGCUCAGUCCCGAAAGCGUGGGGAGCAAAUAGGAUUAGAUACCCCUGUAGUC
Molecule: ribosomal RNA, 440 nt
Filed under: uncultured bacterium
Lineage: Bacteria
Description: partial 16S ribosomal RNA
Rfam family: Bacterial small subunit ribosomal RNA
Source: RNAcentral